GUUUCUGUAGUGUAGUGGUCAUCACGUUCGCCUUACACGCGAAAGGUCCCUGGUUCGAAACCAGGCAGAAACA
Molecule: transfer RNA, 73 nt
Organism: Astyanax mexicanus (Mexican tetra)
Lineage: Eukaryota; Metazoa; Chordata; Actinopteri; Characiformes; Acestrorhamphidae
Rfam family: tRNA
About the family: Transfer RNA (tRNA) molecules are approximately 80 nucleotides in length. Their secondary structure includes four short double-helical elements and three loops (D, anti-codon, and T loops).
Source: Rfam